GGAGGAACUCUGGCUCAGUGAUAGAGCAUCUUCUUGUCAUACAGAAGGCCCCAGGUUAAACCCCCGGCAUCUUCCG
This 76-nucleotide transfer RNA is filed under the name Sphaerodactylus townsendi. RNAcentral's name for it is "tRNA-Asp". Lineage: Eukaryota; Metazoa; Chordata; Lepidosauria; Squamata; Sphaerodactylidae. The record is from RNAcentral.